This 858-nucleotide unclassified non-coding RNA is filed under the name Hevea brasiliensis (rubber tree). Lineage: Eukaryota; Viridiplantae; Streptophyta; Magnoliopsida; Malpighiales; Euphorbiaceae. The record is from RNAcentral.
GAAGCUUUUCAAGAACUACAAAAAAUGGUGCAAGUACCUGGACAGAAAAAGUAGCCUUUGGUUGCCAACCAUACAGCAGGAGGUGCAGCAACGCAAAUUACUUUAUAUGGGUCUGUAUCUUUUGAUAUGGGGGGAAGCUGCUAACUUGAGAUUCAUGCCAGAAUGCCUGUGCUAUNNNNNNNNAUCACAUGGCAUUUGAGUUGUAUGGCAUGCUAGCUGGGAAUGUGAGUCCAAUGACGGGGGAAAACAUCAAGCCUGCGUAUGGAGGUGAAGAAGAGGCAUUCUUGGAGAAAGUUGUUACUCCUAUCUAUGAUGUGAUUGCAAAGGAAGCUGAAAAGAGUAAAAAGGGAAGAUCAAAGCAUUCCCAAUGGAGAAACUAUGAUGAUUUAAAUGAAUACUUCUGGUCAGUUGAUUGCUUUCGGUUAGGUUGGCCAAUGCGUGCAGAUGCUGAUUUCUUUCUCCUGACUGCUGAACAAUUCCGAAAAGAUAGAAAUGGGGAGAAUAAACCAGCUUUUAGAGAUCGAUGGGUGGGGAAAGUUAAUUUUGUUGAGAUACGUACAUUCUGGCAUGUCUUUAGAAGCUUUGAUCGAAUGUGGAGUUUUUUUAUUCUGUGGUUACAGGCUAUGAUUAUUGUUGCUUGGAAUGGUACGGGGCAGCUAAGCUCUGUCUUUACUGGUGAUAUAUUCAAGAAAGUAUUGAGUGUCUUCAUAACGGCUGCAAUAUUAAAGCUUGGGCAAGCCGUCCUUGAUGUAAUCCUUAGUUGGAAAGCACGGCAGAGCAUGUCAUUCCAUGUCAAGUUGAGAUAUAUUCUGAAGGUUAUUUCAGCUGCUGCAUGGGUGGUAGUCCUACCAGUUACUU